This 253-nucleotide ribosomal RNA is filed under the name uncultured bacterium. RNAcentral describes it as "partial 16S ribosomal RNA". It matches the Rfam family "Bacterial small subunit ribosomal RNA", at positions 524 to 776 of the family's 1533-position model. The record is from RNAcentral.
UACGUAGGUGGCAAGCGUUGUCCGGAUUUAUUGGGUUUAAAGGGUGCGUAGGCGGACUGGUAAGUCAGCUGUGAAAGUUUACGGCUCAACCGUGAAAUUGCAGUUGAUACUGUUGGUCUUGAGUAUACAUGAGGUGGGCGGAAUUUGUGGUGUAGCGGUGAAAUGCUUAGAUAUCAGAAAGAACUCCAGUUGCGAAGGCAGCUCACUGGGGUAUAACUGACGCUGAUGCACGAAGGUGUGGGUAGCAAACAGG